GGUGCUGGUAAGUUCUUGCCUCCCCCAAGACAUCAGGUGCCCAGCUAGCCAUCAGGUGAAAUAAAGAACACGGGCAAUCUCUGGAUGAGCUAAGGGCCCACUGCCCACAGUGCCCACCUCCUGCUGUGCUGUAACAAGCAGUACAGCCCAAGAGUGCGGCCAUGAUCAGCUCUCAAAGCAGCUCAAGUUGUGUGGAUGCCAGCUGUACUUCCAGAAACACUUUCCCCCUUGUGGCUGCACAUUUCCCUUCUCUGCUACAGGUUGCUGAACACAGGACAGACAAAUGGCUGCUGUGCCAGACUAUUAUAAGCUUUUAGAGAUUCCCCGGGAUGCCUCUGACAAUGAUAUUAAAAAAGCGUACAGGAAGAAAGCCCUGCAGUGGCACCCGGAUAAAAACCCAGACAGGAAGAAAUAUGCUGAGCAAAAGUUCAAAGAAGUUACAGAAGCUUAUGAAGUCCUGUCGGAUAAAGCCAAGCGGUGAACGUUAUGACUGCUAUGGGAGGGACUCACACAAGC
Molecule: long non-coding RNA, 516 nt
Organism: Sceloporus undulatus (fence lizard)
Lineage: Eukaryota; Metazoa; Chordata; Lepidosauria; Squamata; Phrynosomatidae
Exons: 4
Source: RefSeq, a predicted model, not a curated record